AGAACGAACGCUGGCGGCAGGCUUAACACAUGCAAGUCGAACGGUUGUAGCAAUACAGCAGUGGCAGACGGGUGAGUAACACGUGGGAACCUUCCUAGGGGUACGGAACAACGCAGGGAAACUUGCGCUAAUACCGUAUACGUCCGUGAGGAGAAAGAUUUAUCGCCCUUAGACGGGCCCGCGUCGGAUUAGGUAGUUGGUGGGGUAACGGCCUACCAAGCCUACGAUCCGUAGCUGAUCUUAGAGGAUGAUCAGCCACACUGGGACUGAGACACGGCCCAGACUCCUACGGGAGGCAGCAGUGGGGAAUCUUGGACAAUGGGCGCAAGCCUGAUCCAGCCAUGCCGCGUGAGUGAAGAAGGUCUUCGGAUUGUAAAGCUCUUUUGCCAGGGACGAUAAUGACGGUACCUGGAGAAUAAGCCCCGGCAAACUUCGUGCCAGCAGCCGC
This 448-nucleotide ribosomal RNA is filed under the name uncultured bacterium. Its description in RNAcentral is "SSU rRNA". It matches the Rfam family "Bacterial small subunit ribosomal RNA", at positions 26 to 518 of the family's 1533-position model. The record is from RNAcentral.